UACGUAGGGUGCAAGCGUUAAUCGGAAUUACUGGGCGUAAAGCGUGCGCAGGCGGUUGUGCAAGACAGAUGUGAAAUCCACGGGCUCAACCUGGGAAUGGCAUUUGUGACUGCACGGCUAGAGUGUGUCAGAGGGGGGUAGAAUUCCACGUGUAGCAGUGAAAUGCGUAGAUAUGUGGAGGAAUACCGAUGGCGAAGGCAGCCCCCUGGGAUAACACUGACGCUCAGGCACGAAAGCGUGGGGAGCAAACAGG
This 253-nucleotide ribosomal RNA is filed under the name uncultured microorganism. RNAcentral's name for it is "partial 16S ribosomal RNA". It matches the Rfam family "Bacterial small subunit ribosomal RNA", at positions 524 to 776 of the family's 1533-position model. The record is from RNAcentral.